This is an RNA transcript of Pongo pygmaeus (Bornean orangutan), 3993 nucleotides long. It is a transcript of the gene named zinc finger protein 251, with no coding region annotated. The record is from RefSeq and is a predicted model, not a curated record. The transcript has 6 exons. NCBI's taxonomy places the organism in Eukaryota, Metazoa, Chordata, Mammalia, Primates, Hominidae.
AGGGCACGUCGGCCCAUGCUGCAUGGUGACCUGCCUCCUGCAACCCAGGAAGCUACACCAGCAAUCAGCUUCUGCCUCCUGGCCGUCCUUCCACACCCCAGGUUGAAUGGGGCUGAGCCUGAGUUCUCCCCACUGAAGGUAAGUUGGAGGAGACUUCAGGCCAGGGCAGUCUCCUGUUUUCUCUUGGAAACCACAGCAGCCCAUGCGCACAGAAUGGCAGCCACACUCCAGUUUCCAGGGUACCAGGAGAUGCCGCUGACCUUCCAGGAUGUGGCCGUGUACUUCUCUCAGGCGGAGGGACAGCAGCUGGGCCCCCAGCAGCGGGCGCUCUACAGAGAUGUGAUGCUGGAGAACUAUGGGAACGUGGCCUCUCUGGGGUUCCCUAUCCCUAAGCCGGAGUUGAUCUCCCAGCUGGAGCAGGGGAAGGAACUUUGGGUCCUGAAUCUUCUGGGAGCUGAGGAACCAGAUAUCUUGAAAAGCUGCCAGAAAGAUUCCGAGGUUGGGACCAAGAAGGAACUAUCUAUUUUAAACCAAAAAUUUUCCGAAGAAGUAAAAAACCCAGAAUUUGUAUCAAGAAGACUCUUAACGGAUAAUGCACAGGCAGCUGAGUUUCGGGAAGCGUGGGGCCGUGAGGGCAAACUCGAAGAGCACCUGGGAAAUUCUGCCGGGCAGAGUUUGAACAAACCCAGUAUUCACAAGAGAGUUUUAACAGAAGCUACCGUGGGUAGGGAAAGAUCUUUGGGAGAAAGAACCCAAGAGUGUAGUGCAUUUGAUAGAAACUUGAAUCUGAACCAAAAUGUUGUUAGACUUCAAAGAAAUAAAACAGGAGAGAGGGUCUUUAAAUGUGAUAUAUGCAGCAAAACCUUCAAAUAUAAUUCAGACCUAAGUAGACACCAGAGAAGUCACACUGGGGAGAAGCCGUACGAAUGUGGCCGGUGUGGGCGAGCCUUUACUCACAGCUCAAAUCUUGUUCUGCACCAUCACAUUCACACUGGAAAUAAACCAUUUAAAUGUGAUGAAUGUGGGAAAACUUUUGGACUCAAUUCUCACCUCCGUCUUCAUCGGAGAAUUCACACUGGAGAAAAACCCUUUGGCUGUGGUGAGUGUGGGAAGGCUUUCAGUCGAAGCUCAACUCUUAUUCAACAUCGGAUAAUUCACACAGGAGAGAAGCCCUACAAGUGUAAUGAAUGUGGAAGAGGCUUUAGCCAGAGCCCCCAGUUAACUCAGCAUCAGAGAAUUCACACUGGAGAGAAGCCGCAUGAAUGCAGUCACUGUGGGAAGGCCUUCAGUCGAAGUUCCAGCCUUAUUCAGCAUGAGAGAAUUCACACUGGAGAGAAGCCUCAUAAAUGCAAUCAGUGUGGGAAGGCCUUCAGUCAGAGCUCAAGCCUUUUCCUCCAUCAUCGGGUUCAUACCGGAGAGAAACCCUAUGUAUGUCAUGAAUGCGGUAGAGCCUUUGGUUUUAACUCUCAUCUUACUGAACAUGUAAGGAUUCACACAGGAGAAAAACCCUAUGUUUGUAAUGAGUGUGGCAAAGCCUUUCGUCGGAGUUCCACUCUUGUUCAGCAUCGAAGAGUUCACACUGGGGAGAAGCCCUACCAAUGCGUUGAAUGUGGGAAAGCUUUCAGCCAGAGCUCCCAACUCACCCUACAUCAGCGAGUUCACACUGGAGAGAAGCCCUAUGAAUGUGGUGACUGUGGGAAGGCCUUCAGCCGGAGGUCAACCCUCAUUCAGCAUCAGAAAAUUCACAGUGGAGAGACUCGUAAGUGCGGAAAACGUGGUCCAGCCUUUGUUCAUGGCUCCAGCCUCACAGCAGAUAGACAGAUUCCCACUGGAGAGAAGCACAGCGGAGACUUUAACCAUGGUGCAAAUCUCAUUCUGCGCUGGACAAUUCACACUGGUGAGAAAUCCUUUGGAUGUAAUGAAUAUGGAAAAGCUUUCAGUCCCACCUCACAACCCACUGAAGAUCAGAUAGUGCAUGCUGGGGAAAAGCCCUAUAAAUGUCAAGAAUGUGGAAACGCCUUCAGUGGAAAUUCAACCCUUGUUCAACAUCAGGUAACUCACACUGGUCGGAAACCACGUCAUUGCAGUGUGUGUGGGAAACCCUUCAGCCAGAGUUCACAGCUCACACCACCUCAGCAGACUCAUGUUGGAGAGAAACCUGCUUUAAAUGAUGGAUCUAAAAGAUACUUUAUUCAUAUCAAGAAGAUUUUCCCAGAAAGACAUUUUUAAUGUGAUAAAUGCAGAAGACAAUUUAGCAACUGUUCACUUUACAUUGGAAGAUAAGAUGGCAUAAUGAAAGUCUUGUGCUGUCACCCAGGCUGGAGUGCAGUGGCACAAUCUCAACUCACUGCAACCUCUGCCUCCCAGAUUCAAGCAAUUCUGCCUCAGCCUCCCGAGUAGCUGGGACUACAGGGGAUGCUUGAGGCAAAGGAUUCCUCGACCUCUACCCACUCGAGGCACUGGGCCAGAAAUGAGGUGGAAAGCACUGGAAGAGGCGCGCGCCGGGGGCUCCUGCGGGGACCCCUCAAGCCACUCUCGGCGUCGCCCCGCGGACUCAUUAGCGACAUCCCCUGUGGGCGCCUCGCGUUCCCGCCGUAGAGGAACGACCAGGCGAGGCAAGGAAACGCCUGGCUGGGGCAGCGGGGACGUGGCCCCUCCCCACGCUUUUGUCCUACCCACCCCCUCGGGCGCGCUUUGCCGACCACGCGGCAAUGCGGACGCCCAGACUCGGGUGCGGGGCGCAGCGGCCCUCCCCCACCGCUCCGGGAGAGCGAGCGCUUCUGGGCGUGGCCCCGCCACACGCCGCCACCAUUGCGCCCACUGCCACUUCUAGGGGCUCCUCCGACGGUCAUGGAUGUGCUGAGGCUACGCCGGGCGGGCAGCAGGGGCGAGUCCGCGCGUCCCUCGGGGCCGAAAGGAGCACUGUGGCCGGUGACCCCGGGCAGAAACCUGGUGGGAGCGCACUGGCAGUAGCCGUCCGCAGAGGUCUGCGCACCUGCUCUUGGUCCGCUCUGGGACACGCGGAUGACCGCCCACUCGGUGGUUCAGCGGUCCCCGACGGGAGCUCGGGGUCCCGGCAAGGAAGGGGCCAGUUGGGCUCUUAGUGUGAAGCGACUGUGGGACAUCCUGGUGAAGACAGGACCUAAAGCCGGCAGAAGAUGCUGUGAUGUAGAUGCAAAUUGGGGCGUCUUGAUAGUCAGUGAUGCCACUGAGCUCGCGAGGUCACCCAGAGACAGUGUUGAGUGAGAAGCGGCCCUGGUGCCCCUGGGGCAGUUGAAGAGGGAAGAGGCGCCCUGGGCAUGGAAACCGCUGGGGCGGCCCUGGGUGGGAGGGGAGGUACCCAGGGGCCAGGUGCCACAGAGUCCCUCAUGGAACUAGGCCCCUGAGACCUCAGUGUUGCUCAGGACUGUUGAGUUCCUUGGAGAAUGAGAACAAAGGACCGAAGGUAGGAAAAAUAACUUGACUUCUCUGUAGGAAAAAUAGGUAUCUUGGGAAUGUUUCCAGGUGGCUGUGGUUGAUGAUAUCCACAGCAGGAGCCCAGAAGCAACAUGUCAGAACCUUAGUCUUUUCACCCAUUUGGGGAAAAAGUUAUCUCCUGGUCACAAAGAUAAAGUUGCUUUUGACCACUAGCCUAGUAAAGUCCACUGUGGUGGUAAUGAGAGGUGAAGCCAGCUGGACUUCCUGGAUCGAGUAGGGACUUGGAGAACGUUUCUGUCUUACAAGGGGAUUGUAAAAUGCAUUAGUCAGCACUCUGUAGCUAGCUAGAGGUUUGUAAAAUGCACCAAUCAGUGCUCUGUAGAGCUAGCUAGAGGUUUGUAAAAUGGACCAAUCAGCACUCUGUAAAAUGGACCAAUCGGCAGGACAUGAGCAGGGACAAAUAAGGAAAUAAAAGCUGACCACCCUCCAGCCAGCAGGGACAACCCACUCGGAUCUUCUUCCAUGCUGUGGAAGCUUUGUUCUUUCGCUCUUCACAAUAAAUGUUGCUGCUACUCA